UAAAGUUUUUGUAUUGGGUAAAGGUAUUAAUUAUGCAUAAAACUUCUAUAUAUAGCUACCCAAAAAUACAAUUACAUUUCAUAAUUGAGUAUCUGUUCAUCUAAUUUCAUUUAAACAUUUGGUUUUAGUUUAUUUUUAGUAUCACGGUAAUUGUCCAGAAAUUCAUAAAACAUUCAAAGCAUGAAAGCAGCUACCCAAGAAUGUGAUGGAAAUCGGAAUUGUAUGCCUGAAUUUACAUUGCAAUUUGCCCAGGUUUUAAAUCAACACUGAAUGUGUCAAAAGUGGGGACAUAAAGUUCACACUGGAAGAAGUAUUGAGUUAUAAACCGGGUGGAUCAGUAUAGAAUAUUAAUUUGCAGAAAGCUGUGGUAUAUUUAUUCUACUCAGAUAUACAGGAACCUCCUCAUGUAUUUGAACAGUGGCAUCUUUUUUUGACUCUGCAUUCCAGGUCCAAGUUGUUUUUUUGGACAAUGGUUUGAAAGAGCACACUGUCAGAUUUGAUAUGAGGGUAUUUGUGAACUAUUCAGAAAUUACAAUAUUUUUUCAAUCAAUCCAGUCUACCUCAAAAUGCGAACUAUGUGCGGACUAUAUACAGUCUGCCUCAAAAUAAAACUAUACUUAAUUUGUUUAUAUACCCAAUGUAACAAAUUUAAUACCCAAUGUAACCCAAUGUAUUAUGCACCUACUGUAUAAGGUAAGGGUAAUUGCUAGUGUUUGGAUUAUUUUAGGAACAAAUCACAGACAAAAUCACAGACAAAAUGUCUGACUGUAAUACAACAUAUUGAAACUCACUCUGUACAGUGUGCUGGCCUGCAAAGUGAUGAGCUAUGUCAGUCCAACCAGAGUGGAAAUAUCUAUCAUCUGGAAUACGUUUUUCAAAUGAUAUAAAGUACCAGAAUGACAAGGGGCCUAAUAUUAAACUAGUUAUUAAACAAUGAAUUCAAAUAACAGUUUUUUUCUGUAGAGUAAGAUUAAUUCAUUAAACAAUAUAUACGCACCGAAAUGGAUAGCAAAAAAUACAAAACUGAAAUAGUGCAUGCUGGGAAAUAUGAUGAUGAACAUGGCUCAAAGGGAUGUAAAUGAAUUUUGGGCACCUAUAUUAUAAUUCCUUAAUAAUCUGAAUAAACAAUUAUGUCUGAAGUCAAAUCCUAAGGACACAAACAUAUGCACACAACAACAUGUUUCUGUUACUAACAAAUACAGUCAUAGUUGAUCAUGAGAUCACUCAACCGAAACACAAGGCACACUGGGAAAUGCUAAAUGUUGUUCAAACGAAUCAAUACAAAGCGAAUUUAACGCAAUUUAUGAAUGUACAUUUUUUUCAAAGAUAUAACACAGCAUUUUCAUACACGGUACCACUUUUCGUACUCUCUGGGGAGAAUUAAAUUGAUACAAAAUAGAAUAAAAUUGAUAAAAAAAAUAAAGGUGCAAUAUUUUUCUACUGUCCCCAACGAUAAUCCAAGCUAAACCCUGCAGUCUAAAAGGUGUACUUUGUGGUCUGCCUGUAGAGGCCCCUAAAGCAGUGAGCCAUCAACAUGUGUCUCCUGAUGGGCUCUGUGUGCAGUUUUCUGUUUGGUUCUGAAAGUGAAAGGCAAGUCAGUGGAAACAGAUUUGGGUGAUAACAAAAAGGUUCCAUUUGAUCUUACCAGGAAGUAAAACUAAGACACCAUAUCACACAGGAGCUGGAACCAUUCAUAGGUGUCCCGGUUAACAGAUGAACAACUGUACAGUUUCCCCCGUGUUUGAGGAGAAAUGAUGUGAUUCACAAGUUGAUAAAGCUUCUCCACUCUGAGGGGGCUCGGAGGAGGAAGUGGUAUUACUAGUUAGAGAGGGUGAAUGGGGGGGUCCUGUGGCUUUUUGUAACCACUACAGUGAUUGCACCUGUAAACUUUAAUGUCAUCUGUAGAAAAUAACUUUCUUUGGCCCAGAAAGACCACAAAUGUUUGCUAUCUAACCAACAACAUCUCUUGAAAUCUGGCCCUUGUUUUGGAGGUUGUGGGUUGAGCAGCGGAUUUUUAUGUGAGGUUUAAUGUGAAAUGUAACUGCUAUACCACUUCCACUGUCACUUUUUGGAAGUCUAAUGUUCACACGUUAGACUGAUUUUGCAGACACAGAUUAAUAUCAAGAUCAAAGGAAAACUGCAUUGAGCUUGACUUUUUUUCUCCUAGGCUAAGCUUAAUCUGUUAUUGCAGAACCAGCCCUUGGGCUUUCAGAUUACAACCUCCCUUUCCUGCUCAGAUUGUUUCAAUAUGAACCAACUAAUUGGGGUUGUCAUUCUUGCUUUUCGAUUGAUUGAACUUUUAGUUGAUGAAUUUGUGUUUAACUGAUAUUUAAUACUUUAAUCAUUUCUAACACGCUAACCAGCAACUUAAUCAUCCUUCUCUCAGGAGUUAACCACAACAUUUCUGCCAGCUCACACUCUUUCCUAACCUCAAUUGUGACCACAGGCCGUCCACCUAUAAUUGCUGGUAAUUGUUUUUCUAUAUAACCAUCCCUGCUUACUCAUUGCGAUAAGGGUCUUCAUAGCAGCAUGCUGUCAAUAGUUUUUUAGUUUGUUUUUCCAGAGAGUUAAUGAAAAUUGUCUUUACUUGUUUUCUGAAUGGGACCAGUCAGACUGCAUGACUGUCAGAGAUUAGUCUGAAUAUGUAAAAGAGACAAAUUAAGUGUGUCUGCAAUCUUAGAAAUGUUGAUAAUUACAUUUAUGGGUGGCCAGAAAUAUCUAUCUGCACACCAUGCUUCUAAUAAGCAACACCGUUCAUAUGAAGCUUUAAAAUUACAAUAGAGAUUUCAAAAGGUGCAAAAUUGAAAAUUCAGUUUCAGGUUUGAACCUUUACACAGUGGAUCUGCAAAGAUUCUUUGCAGAAGCCUUCCUCAUGGGACAUUUUUGAUCUCCUAAGGUUUUAAUAGCAUGGCAACCCAAAAAUGUAGUUUAUGCAUCUUUACUUCAAUGAGUUCAUGUGUUGUAAAAUAAAUAAUGACAUGUCGACAAUGCCUGUAAUAAUACUAACGCUUAACUGAAUCACACCUGCAGUAAUAUACAUGGAAUAUUUACAAUUCCUUUACUAUCAUUUAUCCAUUUAUUAAGAAUUUCUUUCCACAAAUAUUAACUAACUUUUAAGUUGUAUUUCUAAUAACAUGUAUUCAGUUACCCGGAGUGUAGUGGCCAGAGAAGGACAGGACCUCAACUUAAUGUGCAGCAACAAAACUUGGAAUGAGAUGAUCUACACCAUUUGGAAAAUAAACAUUGAUGGAUCCGAGUGUCAAGUAUCAUUUGAUAAUCAAAAGGAACUUAACACAUGCAACGAUGGAAAGCAAAUGCACAACUCAACCAGAGGUGAAUCCUACCUGCUUAUUCCUCAGUUCUCAGUCAGGGACCAGGGUGUCUACCACUGUGAGUCAGUCUACAAAGGUGGGAUCAACUCUCAAGACAUUACCGUAACAAUUAUAGCCCCUCCCGAGGUUAAAUUCCAGCUGGAAAUGAUCGAAGGGAGAAGAGUGGCUGUGUGUUUGGUUAAAGGCAAACCAGCUGCCUCCAUUUCAUGGAGAAACACGUGGAACUCUUCAAUCACCCCGCAGAACACCAAUGACUCAAACCAAGUGACCAGUUCUCUACCCUUGCCAGAAGGCGUCAAUACCGAAAACCUGACCUGUGCAGUCACACAUCCAUUCUGGAACCAGGAGAAAAUGUAUCUACCGACAAACGAGACAGUUGAAGCCACCCAAGACACCCGGCCUUGGCUUCUAGUCAGCAUCUCUGUGGUAACUAUAACGAUCAGCGUCAUCAUGGUAACCCUGGGCGGUUUAUACUUUACACGAAAACACCUCUGCAGAAUAAGAGCCGCCACGCCGUCGGUGUCCAAGGCUCCGCAGCCACAGGACUGUGUGGAGGAAGUGGAGCCCUACGCCAGCUAUGUUCAGCGAGUCAAUUCCAUCUACAACUCCUCUGCAGAGCUUUUCACAUAGCACACGCUCACGCACUCACAUGCACAUCUCACCGUGACGCUGUGAGAAAAUGCCAGUAGAUGAAAGUUAGAAAAGCCACCAUGAGACAGUAAAUGAAACAGAGAGAGAGAGAGAGAGAGAGAGAGAGAGAGAGAGAGAGCGAGAGAGAUCAGGGCCAUCACACAUUAAAUACAACCACCUGGGUUUGAUCAGUCCCGACUGCGGAGGCUGAUGGAACAUGGACAUAACCGACGCAGUCACACCCCCAUCGGCCUUGUUGGCUGAAACCAGCUGAACCCAGGAAAAAUACCCCCUUUAGACAGUUGACAAAAACUUGGCUACAAUACAAAGUGUAAAGACGUUGUUUCUAGAAGGCUGUAGCACAGGAGAACGGACGUCGUCCAGGAACGCAGGCAGUCCGCUCAAGCAAGCCGGUUCUCUCCCCAGUCAGAGGCAACGCGCCCAGUCAGAGGCAACGCGCCCAGUCAGAGGCAACGCGCCCAGUCAGAGGCAACGCGCCCAGUCAGAGGCAACGCGCCCAGUCAGACUCGGUUCUCACGAUAAAAUGGGUACCUGAGUGGGAACCGUUGAGGAUCCGUUUUAUGCACUAGGUCAGCUCCUGGAUAAAAUGUCAAGUCAAACAGCAGUAGUUUCCAUCUCUUCAGUCACUGAAAGAAAUGAUGCCCUCAAAUCUCCCUACACCUCCAGUAAACACAGCCUAAAUCCUCCUGAUGGUCCUGUCAGACCACUAAACGGCUUUUGUUGUGUUAAGCUGGGGUCCCCGUAGAUGCUCUGCCUGAACCACAGGCCUGUGUUUCCAUGAUGGCUUGGACAACUUGUCUCACUACUAUAGCGACACCUAUAAAAUAAUGGCUCACUAGAGCUAAAGCAUGAGAAAAUGACAGAAAACACAGAAAUGUCUAGAAACAAAGAAACACAAGAGCUGGUCUGAGAUGUUGGCAGUUAUUGAUUUUUUGUUGGAAAUUGCUUGAAACUGUGAUUGUUCCGUCACAACUGUAAACCAAAUAGCACAAUGUUCUCACGUGCCUGUGUUUCUUCUGCAAAAAUUACAUUUCAUCAAUAUCUCUGUUGUGUAUGAUAGCUAUGUACUGUAUAAUAGCCAUGAUUAGUGUUGACUUUUUAUUUAUGAUUCAAUUUAAAUUUCAUGGUUGUGUUAUUACUUGAAAUGUUAAACUUUGUGUUCGACAGUUUCAGAUGGGAAAAAGGCUGCAUGCCCUUUGCUUUGAAGAAGAAUUCUCCAGAAGUGAAGCUUAGUAUAUCUGUUUGUAUUGAUAUAAGUCAUACCAUGUGACACUGUCAUGUUAAACUGCAGGGGACCCCUCUGCUGGAGAAGGGUGGUACUCAGUGAAUGGGAACAUUUAUUUCCUUUCUAUGAAAAUGUUUUCUAGGUUUUUGCUUACAAAAAUUAAAGGGAACGGAGGAAUUUAAAAAUGAAUACUGUGAAAACCUUUGAUGGAUUUCUCACUUUCAAAAACGUAGACAUUUCAGAGAGAUCACAGAGUUUGUGUAGGAGACCAGCAGAGGAAGCACUGCUUGAAUAGACACAACGUGAUCUAUAGUGACAAAGCAAAUGAAACAUUUUAGUGUAUGCCAAACAUUUCCAAUCCACACCUACACAUUCCUGCAGGUUACCCACUUGUACGUAUGAGAAACAGGACAGGCACAGUAAUAGGAACACCUACUUGACAAAUGACUUCAGUCUGAGUCACUGUGAGAAACAAAAUUAUACAUGGCAAAGCAAUAAAAGACUGUGAAUCAAAGAGCUUGAUUACACUGAGGAAUUAGUAACUAGUAAUAAGCUGUUACUAAAUUUCACAAAAUGGAAAGGGCAUAUUUGGGGCAAAUCUCCAUCCCCUGUCUAGCAUUGCAUCAUAACAGAGAACACAAGCCACCAGAGGUCUCUUCUAGACAAUACUAGCAAUGACGGCAAAAAAACAGAGCAACAUCUGCUAGCAUAUGGAGGACCAAAAUGAAAUAAUAUAAAAAAUAUUUAAAUGCAUAAUUAUUUUAAGUGGUA
Molecule: long non-coding RNA, 5979 nt
Organism: Esox lucius (northern pike)
Lineage: Eukaryota; Metazoa; Chordata; Actinopteri; Esociformes; Esocidae
Source: Ensembl